This 497-nucleotide ribosomal RNA is filed under the name uncultured bacterium. Its description in RNAcentral is "bacterial SSU rRNA". It matches the Rfam family "Bacterial small subunit ribosomal RNA", at positions 29 to 514 of the family's 1533-position model. The record is from RNAcentral.
AGUGAACGCUGGCGGCAGGCCUAAUACAUGCAAGUCGAACGGCAGCACAGCAGAGCUUGCUCUGUGGGUGGCGAGUGGCGGACGGGUGAGGAAUACAUGGGAAUCUGCCCAGUCGUGGGGGAUAACGUAUGGAAACGUACGCUAAUACCGCAUGCGCCCUACGGGGGAAAGCCGGGGACCGAAAGGCCUGGCGCGAUUGGAUGAGCCCAUGUUCGAUUAGCUAGUUGGCGGGGUAAAGGCCCACCAAGGCGACGAUCGAUAGCUGGUCUGAGAGGAUGAUCAGCCACACUGGAACUGAGACACGGUUCAGACUCCUACGGGAGGCAGCAGUAGGGAAUAUUGGACAAUGGGGGCAACCCUGAUCCAGCCAUGCCGCGUGAGUGAAGAAGGCCCUCGGGUUGUAAAGCUCUUUUGUCCGGAAAGAAAAGCAUUCGGUUAAUACCCGGGUGUUCUGACGGUACCGGAAGAAUAAGCACCGGCUAACUUCGUGCCAGCAG